UGGGAUUUCAUUCUUAUUGGCUCAAUAAUAUUAGAUUUUUGUAUCUUUCCCAUAUUUUCUUUAUCCAUUCAACCCCUGAAGGGCACUGUAGUUGAUCACAUUUUUAGCUUUUUUUUUGGUAUGUUUUCAUCUCCUUUGGCUAUAUACCCAGUAGUAGAAUUGCUGGAUCAUAUUGUAGUUCUAUUUUUAUUUAUUUAUUUAUUUUUUGGUACUGAGAAUUUAACCCAGGGCUGCUUUACCACUGAUCUACAUCUCCAGUCCUUUUUUUAAAAAAAUUUAAUUUCCAACUUGUUACCUCCUGCUUUAGCCUCUGGAGUCUCUGGAAUUCCAGGCCUACUCCAGCAUGCUUGGCCUAUUUUUUUUUAAUUAAAAAUAAUUUUUUAAUAGUUAUAGGUGGACAGAAUGCCUUUAUUUUAUUUGUUUAUUUUUAUGUGGUGCUAAGGAUUGAACCCAGUGCCUCACACAUGCUAGGCAAGUACUCUUGCCAGCACAUUUAAAUAGACCCCUUUCUUCACUAUAUGUUUUUAGCAUUUCUGUCAAAAAUUGGUUGGUUCUAUGAAUGUGUAGUAAUUUCUAUGUGUUCUUUUCUGUUCCAUUGGUCGCUGUGUCUGUUUUGUGUCAAUACCAUGCUGUUUUGGUUACUAUAGCUUUGUUGUAUGUUUUGAAGUCAGGUAUUGAGAUGCCUCUGGCACUGUAUAUUUUGCUCAGAAUUGCUUUGGUUAUUGUUUGUCUUUUGUGGUCCCAAAUGAUUUUAGGAUUGUUUUUUUCUAUUUUUGUGAAGAAAGUCAUUGGUAGUUUGAUUGGAAUUGAAUUGAAUUGAAUCUAUAGAUUGUUUUGGGUAGUAUGCUAAUUUUAAUAAUAAUUCUCCAAUUAGUGAACAUCGAAUAUCUUUCCAUAUUUUGGUGUCCUUUAUAAUUUCUUUCAUUAGUGCUUUUUGAUAUUCAUUGUAGAGCUUUUAGUCUGUUUAGAUUUUCCAUUUCAUCUUCAAUUUUGGUAGGCUUUAUAUCUUCCGGAAUAUAUGUCUUCUGAGCUUUAUUGUUUUUGAGCUUAUAAUUGUUUAUACUGGUUUCUUUUGAUAUUUUGUAUUUCUGUGGUAUCAGCUGUAAUGUUUUAAAUUUAAGCUUUUGUUUAUUUAGGUCCUUUUUUCUUGGUUAGUCUAGAUAAAUAUUUGUCAGUUUAUUCUUUUAAAAAACAACUUUGUUUUAUUGAUUAUUUUUAUCUUUUUAGUUUCAAUUUCAUUUGUUUUCUUCUAAUUUUCGGUUUGUUUUGUUCUUCUCUAAGAUAUUGAAGUGCAUUGUUAGGUUAUUUGUGAUCUAUUAUAUCGAUGUAAGGAUUUAUUACUGUAAACUUCUAAGUACUGCUUUUCUGUAUCCCAUAGAUUUUGAUAUGUUGUUAUUUUCUUUGUUUCUAGAAAUAUUUUGAUUUCCCUUUUAUUUUCUUCAACUACUCAUUGGUUAUUUAGGAACAUAUUAUUUAACUCCCAUGUGUUUGUAUUCCUUUCCAUUUUUCUCUUUGGUAACUUGUAGUUUCAUUUUGUUAUGAUCUGAGAUGUUACAUUAUAUUGUAUCAAUUAUUAAAAAUUUAUUGAGAAUUGACUAAACAUUUCCUGUAUUGAUGAGAAGAAUGUGUAUCUGUUGCUGUUGGAUGAAAUGUUCUAUAAAUGUGUAUGAAGACCAUUUGCUCUGUAUAAUAUGAUUCAACUCAGAUAUUUUCUUGUUGAUUUCUUUGCCUAGGUGAUCUGUCCAUUGAGGUAGCGAGGUGUUGUUCCCAGCCAUUAUUGUAACUGAGUCUGUCUCUUUUUAGAUACAAUAAUAUUUAUUUGACAUAAUUGAUGGUUCCAUAUGGGGUGCAUAUAUAUUAGCAAUCAUUAUAUCUUCCUGGUACAUUGAUCCUUUUAUCAAUAUAUAAUGAUCUUCUUUGUUUCUUUUUAGUUUUUGAUUGAAAGUUUGCUGUAUCUGAUAUGAAUUUAGCUACACCUGCUCACUUUGUUUCCAUCUGCACUUAUAUCUUUUUCCAACCCUUCACUUUUAAUUUAUGUGUUAUCAAUUACCAGUGAAGUGAGUUUCCUGUAACAGCAUAUAAUUGGGUCUUUUUUUUUUUUUUUUAAGCUCAUUAAGCCAGUAUAAGUCUUUUCACUGGUGAAUUUAACCCUUUUAUAUUCAAGGUUAUUAUUGGUAAGUAUGAACUUCUUCCUCUAAUCUUGUUAAUUGUGUACUCUGCUUGUUUUGUGUAUUUUUUGUUCCUUUUCACUUCUCAUCAUUUUUUAUUUUUUUAAAUAUUUAUUUAUUUAUUUAUUUUUUUGGUUUUCGGCGGACACAACAUCUUUGUAUGUGGUGCUGAGGAUCGAACCUGGGCCGCACGCUUGCCAGGCGAGUGCACUACCGCUUGAGCCACAUCAUUUUUUAAAAAAUAUUUUUUAGUUGUAGAUGGUCACAGUAUCCUUAUUUGUUUAUAUGGUGCUGAGGAUCAAACCCAGGGUCUUAGACGUGCUAGGCAAGCACUCUACUAUUGAGCCACAACUUCAGCCCUCAUCAUUUUUUUUUUGAUUUAGUAAAUUUCUGUUAUGUAGUUUCUCCUCUUUUGUGUUUCUGUCCUUCUAGUGAGUUUUGUAUAUUCAUGAGUGUUCAUGAUGAUAGUUAUCAUCUGUUUUAGUAAGCUUUUUCGCUGCUGUGUCUAAAACACCCAACUAGGACAUUUGUAGAGUAAGAUUUUAUUUGGUGGCUCAGAGUUUCAGAGGUCUCAGUCCAUAGACAGACAGCUCCAUUCCUCAGGACUCAAGGUGAGGCAGGAAAUCAGUGGAAAUGUGGUAGAGGGAAGCAGCUCACAUGAUGAUCAGAAAUGUAGAGAGAAAGAUCUCCAUGAAAAAUACACAUAUAUACCCCAAAGUCAUGCCCCUCCCCAUGCCCAUAACUCCUCAAGCAACACCUUUCCUGCCUUCGAUUACUGAUUAGUUACUAAUCUCAUCAGGUAAUUAAUUAACUGGUUGGGUGAAAGCUCCCAUAACUCAAUCAUUUAUUCUCUAAAUCUUCUUGCAUUGUCUCACACAUGAGCUUUUGGGGAACACCUCACAUGUAAACCAUAACAUUCCACCUCUGGUCCCCAAAAGCCUGUGAUCAUCUUACAAUGCAAAAUACAUUUAGUCUAUCUCCAAGAGUCCCCACUGUCUCAACAAUUCAAGGACUGCCCAAAAGUUCAAGUUCAAAGCCUCCUCUAAGACUCAGAGCAAACUUUCAUCAUGAGUUCCUGUAAAAAACAAAAGCUAUUUACAAGUCUCCAAUAUAUAAAAGUAUGGAAUAAACAUUUCCAUGCACAAAUAUGCAUUUGUAGAGGAGGAAAAGUUUAUUUGGGGGUUCACAAUUUCAGAGGUCUCAGUCCAUAGACAGCAGGCUCCAUUCUUCAGGGCUUAAGGCGAGGCAGGAUAUCAUGGUGGAAGAAACUUCUCAGAAAAAAGCGAUGGGACCAAAGGAAGACCGAAAUUCAGCUGGGCAAACAAGUCCUGUAGCUCCACAUUUGGCAUCUGUGGCACAUGGCAUGGUGAUAUUCUGUCCAAAUGAUUUGUGUAGCUCUGCCCCUGUGGCCUUGUUGGUUGUAGCCCAAGUGGCCUUUCUGUUUUCUCUGUUGAUUCCUGCAGCUUUCCUAGAUGAUGUCCCAUGUUACUGGCAUUUCUUAAUCUUGGAGUCUUCACUGCAGCUUUGGCUUCCUCCUCACAUCUCCAUGCUUUGUUCUCUCAGGGGCUGCCCACAGGGACUCCCAGGCCUUCCUUUGAAAUCUUCAUGGAAGCCUCCAUGACCCCCAAACUCCAGCUUCCUGUAUUUCUGUAGAACCAGAACCAUGUGGUUGAUGCCAGGGUCUGCAGCCAUCUUGAGCAGUAGCCAAGCCUCCAGGGACCCUGGGUGCAGAAGCUUCUGAGUGCUUGGGUAACUGAGCAUGUUGAAAAAAAAUUCCUAGGUCCCUUUGUUCAAGAAGGGUACUCAACUGGUCUUGUCUGCAGCAUAUUUUACUUUUACUCCCUUGAGCCUGAGAUGGAUGUGGUCUUGCCAGCUCCUGAGGUGCCCUCAAGCCAUCUUUCUCAUUGUCUCUGAUCAAAGUCUUUAGCAUUUCUUUAGUAGCAGAAAUGUCUUUGACAACUGCAACUUCCUUAGCUCCAGUUUUACUCCUGCCUUUCAAGUCCAAGUUUUCAAAUAUUUCUGCUCUGCUUUCUGCUCCUGAAUGUCACAAUAAAUUUGGCUAAAAGCUGCCAGCAGUAUCCAUGCUACCGCUUGAAUGCUAUGCUGUCUAGAAAUUUCUUCAAAUUAAGAAGUCCAUCACUUUUAAAAUCACCCUCACAGAAAGUCUCAGAACAUGGGCAAAAUGUAGAUAACUUCUCAGCCAGACAUAACAUGAAUGGCCUUUAGUCCUAUUACCACUAAUGUCCUCCUUUUCCUCUCAACCCUCUUGAGCCCUGUCUUCACUGUCCAUGGUCCUAUUGGCAUUCUGGUUUUCUGAGCUCCUAAUAGAAUUCACCAUUUAUGUGUCCUUACAACAGUAUAAAGCAUUUCCAGCUUGCACUGCUAAACAUCUCAAAAUUUUUCCUGCCAAUUCUGAAAAUCUCCAAAUUCUUAUAAAUUACAUGGUCAGGUAAGUCACAGAAAUGGUCCCACUCCUGGUGCCAAUUUCUGUUUUAGUCAGCUUUUUCACUUCAGUGACUAAAAGACCCAACCAGCACAUUUGUAGAGGAGGAAAAGUUUAUUUAGGGAUUCACAAUUUCAGAGGUCUCAAUCCAUAGACAGCAGGCUCCAUUCUUCAGGGCUUAAGGUAAGGCAGGAUAUCAUGGUGGAAGACAGUGGCAUUCUUCCUUCUUCUUCUUUCAUUCUUCUUCUUUAUUCUUCAUUCUUUAUUCUUAUUCUUCAUUCUUCUUCUUCAUUCUCCUCCUCCUCCCCCCUUCCUCCUCCCUCCUCCCUUCCUCCUCCCUUCCUUCUUCCUUCCUUCCUCCUCCUCCCCCUUCCUCCUUUCCCUUCCUCCUCCCUUCCUUCUCCUUUCCUUCUUCCUUCCUUUCUUCUUCCUUCCUUCCUUCUUCCUUCUUCCUUCUUCUUUUUAAAUUUUGUAUUUCUGGAUGGACCACAUGCCUUUAUUUUAUUUUUAUGUGGUGCUGAAGAUCAAACCCAGUACCUCACACAUGUGAGGCAAGUGCUCUGCUACUGAGCUACAGCCUCAGCCCUGGAUUUAGUAUUCUUGGUUGGCAUUUUUUUCCUUUCAGUAUUUUGAUUAUAUCCUCCUAUUCUGGACUGUAAGGUUUCUGCUGAUAAAUCUGCUGUAAUUCUAAUAGGCAUUCCCUAAGUGUAACUUGUCACUAUUCUCUUUUAUUUUGACAUUUUGAGCAUCUAUAUCUUUGUGAAGGUCUGUUUUGGUUGAAUCAAGUUACUGUCCUUUGAGCUUGAUGGAUAUCCAUAACUUUUUUGAAGUUGUGGGAAGUUUUUGGCUGUUAUUUUGUGAAAUAGGCUUUCUGUGACUUUUUCCUUUUCUUUACCCUCUGGAAUUCUUUUUUCUUUUUCCCUCUCAUGUUUUAUUAUCCUAGAGUAGAUGUCAGUAUAAUCUUAAGCAGAAUCAAAUUUUAUUUUCAUUGACAUAAUAAUAAACUGUUUCCAGUGAUUUCAACAUGUUUUUCUGGCUUCAACCUAUUUCUCAUGGGGAAUUUUUUUUUUUUUUUUUUUGCAAUGAAUUCCUUUCAUGCUUUAUCGUUACUUCUAUUUUUUAAAAUUUAUUUAUUGUUUUUAGGUAUACAUGACAGUAGAGUAUAUUUUGACAUAUUAUACAUACAUAGUGUGCAACCCAUUACAAUUGUGAUCCCAAUCUUGUAUAGUUACACUGGUUGUGUAUUCAUAUAUGACCAUAGGAAAGUUAUGUUUGAUUCGUUCUACUGUCUUUCUUAUUCCUGUUCUGCGUUCCCUUCAUUCUCCUUUGUCUAAUCCUAUGAACUUCUGUUCUUCCCCUCCUGACCCUCCCUUGUUAUGGGUUAGCAUUCACAUAUCAGAGAGAACAUUUGACAGAACUGAAUUAUUUCACUUAGCAGGAUAUUCUCCAGUUCCAUCCAUUUACCAACAAAUGCAUAAUUCCAUUGUUCUUUGUGGCUGAUUUAUUUAUUAAUUUGAAUUAGUUUCUCCUUUAACUAUUCUUCUAAUGUAGUUCCUCCCUUUGGUAGUCUUGAGUUUUAUUUUUCAUUCUUUUUUAUCAAAUAUUUUGUUGGGUAGGUUUUGCAGUACUUGCUUUUCUAGUUAUGGAUUCUUUUAACUUUUUUUUUUAAGUAUUUUUUUUAGUUGUCAGUGGACUUUAUUUAUUUAUAUGUGGUUCUGAGAAUUGAACCCAGUGCCUCACACAUGCUAGGCAAGUGCUCUACCACUGAGCCACAAUCCCAGCCCAACUUUUAUUUAUUUUUGAAGAUUUUGAUUUCAUCCUCAAAUCUGAAGUUUUAUUUUGCUGGGUAUAGUAUUCUUGGCUGGCAUCCAUUUUCUUUCAGAGCUUGGUAUAUAUUAUUCCAAGACCUCCUAGCUUUGAGUGUCUGGGUUGAGAAAUUGGCUGAGAUCCUGAUUGAUUUCCCUCUAAAUAUUACCUUGUUGCUGUUCUCUGAAAGUCUAUAAAAUUUUAUUAAAAUUUAUUAAAAUUUAUGUUAGGCAUCUUCAUAAUAAUGUGCCUUGGGUGUGAGUCUGUUCUAAUUUUAUAUAUUUGGAGUCCUGUAAGCCUCCUGAAUUUAGUUUUCCAUUUCAUUCUUAAGGUAUGGGAAAUUUUCUGAUAUUAUUACAGUGAAAAGAUUGUGCAUUCUUUUGGUUUGUAUCUCUGAACCUUCAUCUAUCCAGAUACAUCUUGGUUUUUUCAUGUUAUCCCAUAAUUAUUGAAAGUUUUGUUCACGGUCUCUUAACAUCUUUUCCUCAUGGUCAACUUUAUUUUCUAUAUUAUAUAUUUUGCCUUCAUUGCCUGAAACUCUCUUCCAUGUGGUCUAGUCUAUUGGCAAUGCUUUCCAUUGAAUUUUUAAUUUGGGUUAUUGAGUCCUUCAGUUCGAGGAUUUCUGACUGAUUCUUGUUCAGGAUCUCUAUCUCCAUGUUGAAAUGAUCUUUUACUUCUUGUAUUUUCUUUCUGAUUUCAUUUCUUAUGACAACCUUCACCUCUAGAUUAAUUUAACCAUGAAUUUUUCUGAAUUCUGUCUCUGAAAUUUCCUCCACUAUUGUGUCAAUGGAUUCUAAUGUUGAGGUAUUCUGUGUUAUUUGGAAUGGUUUGUUCUUUCUUUCUUUUUCUUUUUUUCAGAUUGUUUGUGUGUCUACCAAUCUAUCUGAAUGGAUCUGAUGCUGUAGAGUUUCUACCUUAUGAGUUUAUAGUGUCACUCUUUUACUUGUACUUUACAGAUUGGUCCAGGACUGGGGGUGGGGAGCCCAAUGAUAGCAACAAUGGAUGCAGACAGUAUAUAGCAGUAGACUAGGUCCUUAGUUCCUGUUUUGAUGUUUAGUGUUAAUUGGUACUAUAUUUAAGAAUAUUGGAAUCAGCAGUUUCCAUUGUAAAAAAAAAAAAUAAACAAUCACGUAUUAUGAGGCGAGUCUCUUAGAGAUAGCAUAUUGUUGGGUCUUUUUUAAUCCUGUCUGCUACAAAACAAAACAAUCAAAAAAAAGAAAAAGGAAAAAAGGCUAGAGAUGAAAGAGUAACAAAUAUGAAUAUGUAUAGGAAUCCUUAAAUCAGUCAGUACACAUUCAAAUAAAAAAAAGUUCCAAUAUGGAAACUCCAAAUCAAACAUGAAAACAGAACUACUACCACAAUAAACAAACAAAUAACAACAAUAAAAAUCUUGGUAAAGUGUUAAGAAUUUAAGGAGCCCUAUUCACUAUGGUAGAGAAAAUAGNCUCUUCUAGACUCUCUAACCUGU
RNAcentral lists this long non-coding RNA (7885 nucleotides) under Marmota monax (woodchuck). The record is from RNAcentral. Lineage: Eukaryota; Metazoa; Chordata; Mammalia; Rodentia; Sciuridae.